CGAGCGGCGGACGGGUGAGUAAUGCCUAGGAAAUUGCCCUGAUGUGGGGGAUAACCAUUGGAAACGAUGGCUAAUACCGCAUGAUGCCUACGGGCCAAAGAGGGGGACCUUCGGGCCUCUCGCGUCAGGAUAUGCCUAGGUGGGAUUAGCUAGUUGGUGAGGUAAGGGCUCACCAAGGCGACGAUCCCUAGCUGGUCUGAGAGGAUGAUCAGCCACACUGGAACUGAGACACGGUCCAGACUCCUACGGGAGGCAGCAGUGGGGAAUAUUGCACAAUGGGCGCAAGCCUGAUGCAGCCAUGCCGCGUGUGUGAAGAAGGCCUUCGGGUUGUAAAGCACUUUCAGUCGUGAGGAAGGUAGUGUAGUUAAUAGCUGCAUUAUUUGACGUUAGCGACAGAAGAAGCACCGGCUAACUCCGUGCCAGCAGCCGCGGUAAUACGGAGGGUGCGAGCGUUAAUCGGAAUUACUGGGCGUAAAGCGCAUGCAGGUGGUUUGUUAAGUCAGAUGUGAAAGCCCGGGGCUCAACCUCGGAAUUGCAUUUGAAACUGGCAGACUAGAGUACUGUAGAGGGGGGUAGAAUUUCAGGUGUAGCGGUGAAAUGCGUAGAGAUCUGAAGGAAUACCGGUGGCGAAGGCGGCCCCCUGGACAGAUACUGACACUCAGAUGCGAAAGCGUGGGGAGCAAACAGGAUUAGAUACCCUGGUAGUCCACGCCGUAAACGAUGUCUACUUGGAGGUUGUGGCCUUGAGCCGUGGCUUUCGGAGCUAACGCGUUAAGUAGACCGCCUGGGGAGUACGGUCGCAAGAUUAAAACUCAAAUGAAUUGACGGGGGCCCGCACAAGCGGUGGAGCAUGUGGUUUAAUUCGAUGCAACGCGAAGAACCUUACCUACUCUUGACAUCCAGAGAACUUUCCAGA
RNAcentral lists this ribosomal RNA (916 nucleotides) under Vibrio parahaemolyticus. RNAcentral describes it as "bacterial SSU rRNA". It matches the Rfam family "Bacterial small subunit ribosomal RNA", at positions 92 to 1004 of the family's 1533-position model. Lineage: Bacteria; Pseudomonadati; Pseudomonadota; Gammaproteobacteria; Vibrionales; Vibrionaceae. The record is from RNAcentral.